This is a long non-coding RNA of Equus caballus (horse), 2709 nucleotides long. RefSeq lists it as uncharacterized. The record is from RefSeq and is a predicted model, not a curated record. Lineage: Eukaryota; Metazoa; Chordata; Mammalia; Perissodactyla; Equidae.
CUCCAUCUGCCAAAUAUCAGACCAGAACUUUUCCUUGGUGUUUCCAAGACGGAACCAUAUAACUAAGGGGAUUCUGGGAAUUGUAGUUCCCAGCUUCUCUCGGUGCCACAGAGGAGAACUUAGAAAGGGGUGGUGAUGAUGCUGAGCUGACAACAGACGAUCUGCCCAUUAUUUAAUUGGAUGAGCCCUCCUAGGAGUAAGUAUGGGGAGUUGCCAGGUGGAAGGAGCAGCAGAAGCAGAGCACACACAGCGACGGAAGGCAGUGAGCAGAGAUGGGAUCCUGAGUAAGCCGAGAGGAGAGGAAGUCUCUGGUGUCGUAGGGGAGGCAGAGAAGAAGGAAGAUGGAGGGAAGGGAGCAUUGGAUUUCUGCGGAGCCCCUAAAGUAUUCAAGGCAUCCAGAUGCUCCAGUGUCAUGACGUGGCAGGCCUGCAUCUCAAUGACACCUAUGUGGGAGGAGAGGUACUCACAGUUGUCCCUUCCCCUGACUCUGGGUGCUAAGAUUUGCUGGGACGAGCUGGUUGCUCCCAAGGUCUCAGAUAUUCUGUGAACUGAGGGUCCUUAGGAGUCCCACCUCCUGCCUGAAGGCUUCCCGAUCAACUCUCCCUUCAGCCUAAACUCCUUAUUUUGACACAUGUUCACACAUACGUUGUCAUGGCUUGUUUGCUAUUCUGCAUGUGCUGUGUCCCCAUGUAGCUCUUUGGAGCCAGAAGCCCAAACUAUCUUCUAAAUCCCACGCAACCCUGGAAGGUGCUCCACACCUCUGGGCUGGACUGAGCUGAGGCAGAGGCUGGAAGGAAAGAUCUGUAGGCAUCAGCAGAGCCACCGAAGAUGCUCCUGUCACCCAUGGGCAAGGCUUUGGGAGAAGGGACGAAAGUCCAUCUAGGGCCACUUCCUUUUAUCCCCUAGAGCAGCCAACCUAAAUGAGGGGACUGGAGGAGCAAACCUCGCUCAAGGAAAUCAGAGAUCAACUGGAAUCAAUCCUCGGGCUAUGGAAAGGAGUAACGCAAACAAAACACAGGUUGUGUGUAUGUUUGUGUAUGGGGGGGGCUGGUUGCCAUGACACAAAGGGCCACACCCACCAAGGCUGGGCUGAAACAGGGAUGAGGCUCUGAGACAGAAACUUGCGUAAACAGCCAAUCCUCUAGGAGAGGCCCCCCCCCCCCCACUGCAGUAGAACAACUGCCUAGUAAUGAGGAGACCCCCAGCUGAGGACACCAGCUUCUGAACAGUGGCUGAGCUGCUCUUUCUAGGCAUUAACUCCAGAAAUUGGAGAUGAGGAAACCAGAGCAAACUGGAGGUCAGCUUGGAGGUUGUGUCCAUCGCUGAACCAAUCAGUUGGGUAAGAGGAUUGUGUACCCGGAACGCCAGCCUGGAUGGUCUUAUUCAAUCCUCACAACAACUUUCUAAGUGAGCGAGGAAGGCUGUGUCAAUAUGGGGGUGCACCACGGGGUCUCCACAUGGAGAGCAGCUGCAGAGAGUCACCACACGUGCAACAAGGCUUUGUGUCAGAUCCCAUCCAGGCAGUACAACAUUACAUUUUGUCAUUGCAUCCCCUUAAGGACAUGACAGUUUCUCCGACUGUCCUUGCUUUUGAGCACCUUGACAGCUGUAAGGAGUGCUGGUCAGGGAAGGCUAAGGUGCGGUUUAUUGCCCAGGGAAGCGGAGGGCUGAUUCAGAGCAAGGCGUCAUGGAGGGAUGAAGCAGGACAUGAUGCAGAGAAGCUGCUGCCCACAGCAGUAGGACCAGAACGGUGGACUCAAGGAAGAGAGAAGGAGAACCAGAAAGGCAGCUCCGUCCUUCACGCUCGGAGGGCUUGGAGGGGAAGAAACUCCAGUGGGGUUUGAGGGUAGAUCUCCCUGUGAGGGGCUGAGUGGGGCUUGACUCUCAGAUUGCAGCUGUGGGAAAUUUAGUGAACUCCCUUAGCAAAGUGGCAAUUCAGGAUGGUGCCAACGCAACACGGCGCCGCCCAGGAGGUAGUUUGAUAUGGCUGAGGAAGCGGGUCUGGGAAGUGGCUUCACGGAACUCUGCCUCUUCUGGUGUGAGUGGGGAGAAUGCAGCUGGGUGGUCCUAGGUCCCAGGGGCUAUAGAAGCAAGAUCUGCACCAGCAGCCAUGUGUGGGGACCACACACUUCAGUAGCACCCCUCAUCCCCUACCCCAAGCAAGUCCCAGGGACCAGGCUGGACCCGCUCUGUCCCCAUCAGGGGUGCUGAAGAAUGCAGGGGGCUCACUCUUCCCUCAACCACAAGGGCAUGUGAAUAUCUCCCUGCCCCAGGAAAUUCUCUAGGAGAAGGAAGAGGGGUGAGAAAACCCUGGAAAACAGCGUUUUACUCAAAGGAGCCUGAGUUAAACAUACAGAAAUGGAGAUAUCUCUAAUGGACAAGUUAAAGGUUUCUUUUCAUUUUUUUCUUUUUCUUUUUCUUUUUUGCUUGUUAACAGUAGUAAUGGUCUCAUCAGAUCAAGAUAAGAACAGUACAAAAAAAUUAAAGAUGCUAGUUUUAUCCAUCUGAGCUGUAGGAUGUGACUUCCAACCCCAGCACACACAUGGCUGCACAAGUUUGCCUGGGCAGCUGUGUACUCUUGAUUCCUCUAGUCAGAUUUUUCUUUGAGACUCACUGUGUGUUUUGCUUUAGCCAGGAGUUGAGAAUCACAAAAUCAUCAAAUCUGUAUUAAUUAUCUAUUGCUGCAUAAUAAAUUACUCCAAAAACUUA